UCAAGGGCCCGAAUUUCCAUGGGCUGCCAAUCAUAAUUAAAAGGAAUGUGGCAGUUCAGGAAGGUCGCGGCAGCAAGGAUCUCCCUGAAUAAACACCGGGUCCCAGCUGAAAACCACUCCAAAGGCUCCGAGUGAUAAAACCACCGGCAUCUACACGGGAGAUGCUUCCCACCUUGCCAGUCAGGAAGCCACUAAUCUGGAAUGUGAUGGGAGAAGUACCAGCAGUAGGCAGUGAAGCUUCCACCCCCAAAAGGGUUUAAAAUAAGACACUGGGAGCAUGACACCAGCUGCCAAAGCUGCAGCCUCCCUCUCCCCCCCCAGCAGAGCAGCCCAGGAAUGCGGCCAGGAAUGCAGCCGGGGCUGGGAUGCAGCAGCCCGCAGCCGCGCACCAGCUUCCCAGGAGCGGUUCCCUCCCGACCACAGCCUGACAUAAUGGACAGGCAGCUCCUGCAUCAACACUGACAGCCCCGGCAGAGGGGAAAGCUGCUUCCCGUGUUUCUCCUGGGGGCUCUUCCAGCCUCCACAUCCCCUGAGGGGGGAUUCGGUGCUG
Pezoporus occidentalis (night parrot) is the source of this 550-nucleotide long non-coding RNA. RefSeq lists it as uncharacterized. The record is from RefSeq and is a predicted model, not a curated record. NCBI's taxonomy places the organism in Eukaryota, Metazoa, Chordata, Aves, Psittaciformes, Psittacidae. The transcript is spliced from 3 exons.